AACGAACGCUGGCGGCAGGCUUAACACAUGCAAGUCGAACGGGUGUAGCAAUACAUCAGUGGCAGACGGGUGAGUAACACGUGGGAACCUUCCUAGAGGUACGGAACAACGCAGGGAAACUUGCGCUAAUACCGUAUACGCUCUUGCGAGGAAAGAUUUAUCGCCUUUAGACGGGCCCGCGUCGGAUUAGCUAGUUGGUGGGGUAACGGCUCACCAAGGCGACGAUCCGUAGCUGAUCUGAGAGGAUGAUCAGCCACACUGGGACUGAGACACGGCCCAGACUCCUACGGGAGGCAGCAGUGGGGAAUCUUGGACAAUGGGCGCAAGCCUGAUCCAGCCAUGCCGCGUGAGUGAAGAAGGCCUUCGGGUUGUAAAGCUCUUUUGUCAGGGACGAUAAUGACGGUACCUGAAGAAUAAGCCCCGGCAAACUUCGUACCAGCAGCCGCGGU
This 449-nucleotide ribosomal RNA is filed under the name uncultured bacterium. RNAcentral's name for it is "bacterial SSU rRNA". It matches the Rfam family "Bacterial small subunit ribosomal RNA", at positions 29 to 521 of the family's 1533-position model. The record is from RNAcentral.